AGAAUUAUAGCUUAUUUAAAGUUUUUUAUUUACAUUAAAAGGAAAAUGCAACUUUGUUUUUAAUUCUA
This 68-nucleotide transfer RNA is filed under the name unidentified. RNAcentral's name for it is "Paradorydium reflexana tRNA-Val". The record is from RNAcentral.